This is a long non-coding RNA of Bombina bombina (fire-bellied toad), 162 nucleotides long. RefSeq lists it as uncharacterized. The record is from RefSeq and is a predicted model, not a curated record. NCBI's taxonomy places the organism in Eukaryota, Metazoa, Chordata, Amphibia, Anura, Bombinatoridae. The transcript has 4 exons.
CUCUGUUUGAGUCUUCGUUUUUGUAACUCAUCUGUGGAUAUAAGCAGCUUACACAGAGGCAGAGACAGCACCUCCCGGAGGAGAGAUCUUGUGACGGAUCUGUUGAAAGGCAAAUCUUCGAAGCCCACUAGACAUGCAACAUCUUACAUUGCACCAAAGGAG